Molecule: ribosomal RNA, 510 nt
Filed under: uncultured bacterium
Lineage: Bacteria
Description: partial 16S ribosomal RNA
Rfam family: Bacterial small subunit ribosomal RNA
Source: RNAcentral
GACGAACGCUGGCGGCGUGCUUAACACAUGCAAGUCGAACGAAGAGCGAUGGAAGCUUGCUUCUAUCAAUCUUAGUGGCGAACGGGUGAGUAACGCGUAAUCAACCUGCCCUUCAGAGGGGGACAACAGUUGGAAACGACUGCUAAUACCGCAUACGAUCUAACCUCGGCAUCGAGGAUAGAUGAAAGGUGGCCUCUACAUGUAAGCUAUCACUGAAGGAGGGGAAUGCGUCUGAUUAGCUAGUUGGAGGGGUAACGGCCCACCAAGGCGAUGAUCAGUAGCCGGUCUGAGAGGAUGAACGGCCACAUUGGGACUGAGACACGGCCCAGACUCCUACGGGAGGCAGCAGUGGGGAAUCUUCCGCAAUGGACGAAAGUCUGACGGAGCAACGCCGCGUGAGUGAUGACGGCCUUCGGGUUGUAAAGCUCUGUUAAUCGGGACGAAAGGCCUUCUUGCGAAUAGUGAGAAGGAUUGACGGUACCGGAAUAGAAAGCCACGGCUAACUACGUG